Molecule: transfer RNA, 63 nt
Filed under: Rattus norvegicus (Norway rat)
Lineage: Eukaryota; Metazoa; Chordata; Mammalia; Rodentia; Muridae
Rfam family: tRNA
About the family: Transfer RNA (tRNA) molecules are approximately 80 nucleotides in length. Their secondary structure includes four short double-helical elements and three loops (D, anti-codon, and T loops).
Source: Rfam by way of RNAcentral
GGGGAUUUAGCUCAGUGGUAGAGCGCUUGCCUAGCAAGGCCCUGGGUUCGGUCCCCAGCUCCA